GGGAAUGCAACGGUUUCGACGGAUUGAAAGAUGGUUAAAACUGCAUAUAGUGGUGCUGCUACAACUUUAAAAUGGCAGAAAAAAACAAACAACAACAACGUAGAAUAUAACUACGCUAUGGCUGCUUAAUAAAAUAAGCAACCUCGCAUUUGAUUUUCUGCUCACCGGAAAUUAAAAUGCGUCAUUCAGAUGAGAUAGUUUAAGCUGUUUUCCGUGCUGUUUAAAUGAAACUAAAGCGGAAUAGUAAAAUCAGGUUUGUCCUGCUUCCAUGAUUUUGCGAUGCUCAAAGCGGGAACUAAAUAUGUAGAGGUUUUAAUGGUCUUCUUUCCGGACCCGAGUUCGACUCUCGGCAUUUCCACUA
Molecule: transfer-messenger RNA, 361 nt
Filed under: Ignavibacteria bacterium
Lineage: Bacteria; Pseudomonadati; Ignavibacteriota; Ignavibacteria
Rfam family: transfer-messenger RNA
About the family: Bacterial tmRNA, also known as 10Sa RNA or SsrA, is named for its dual tRNA and mRNA-like properties. Its role is to liberate the mRNA from a stalled ribosome.
Source: RNAcentral